ACGGCGAGUGAAGCGGGAUGAGCUCAAAUUUAAAAUCUGGCUGGUUUACUAGUCCGAAUUGUAGUUUAUAGAAGCGUUUUCGGUGGCAGCCUGGGUAUAAAUCCUUUGGAAUAGGGUAUCAUAGAGGGUGAGAAUCCCGUCUUUGACUCAGUGCAUGCUACUAUGUGAUACGUUUUCAAAGAGUCGAGUUGUUUGGGAAUGCAGCUCAAAAUGGGAGGUAAAUUUCUUCUAAAGCUAAAUACCGGCGAGAGACCGAUAGCGAACAAGUACCGUGAGGGAAAGAUGAAAAGAACUUUGAAAAGAGAGUUAAACAGUGCGUGAAAUUGUUGAAAGGGAAACGUUUGACACCAGUUAUGCGGGUGGAAAAUCAAUCUUUUGCAAUGGCAAGCUGUGGGCGUUCAGACCGCAAGGCUGGCGUUUGCUUCAUUGUUGUUGUAAGUGAUGCACUUUUUCAUUUGCAGGUCAACAUCAGUUUGUUUCGCUGGACAAAACCCCAAGGGAAGGUGGCAGCUUAGGCUGUGUUAUAGCCCUGGGGCGAUACAGUGGAAUGGACUGAGGUUUUCGCAGCGUGUGCUUUCGGGCAAGGUCGACUGGGUGCUAUGGGAUCGUUUGGCGUACAAUGCAUGCAUUUUGCGCUUCGUCUUUUUCAUACUCGCUCAAAUCGUCUCUUCCACGC
RNAcentral lists this ribosomal RNA (676 nucleotides) under Linnemannia biramosa. RNAcentral describes it as "eukaryotic LSU rRNA". It matches the Rfam family "Eukaryotic large subunit ribosomal RNA", at positions 86 to 625 of the family's 3401-position model. The record is from RNAcentral. Lineage: Eukaryota; Fungi; Mortierellomycota; Mortierellomycetes; Mortierellales; Mortierellaceae.